CAGGAUUUUUAAACCUUCCUUUUGCGUUUGUGUUUUAGGAAAGAAGGACGAAGAAAUAUCUCGUGAAUUUUUAUUUUGAAAAUUUGCUUUUAAAUAAUAUCUUCACCCCUGUUUCUGACUAGAAAACAAAGGAAAGAAGGACGAAAACAUUUCGUGACUUUUCAUUUUGAAAAUUUGCUUUGAAAAAAAUAUCACCACUGUUUCUGACUAGAUAAUACAGCCAUGGCUGCUGUUAGUUCAUGCCCAAAAACUAAAGCCGAAUUUUUUAAAGCAUCUGAAAGGAUAGGAUGUGGUAAUGAUAUCAAUGGUCACAACCAGUACAUCUGCAUUCCUAAUCAAGAGAAGACGUCUUUGGUAGAAUUAUGUUAUAAUGAAAUAAUGGGAGUACGGGAAAAAGGAAAUUGUCUAGAGGCUACCGUCGGAAAGGUGAUCGAACAUACCUGUGAGAAUUUUGUGUCUGGAUGCCCAAAUGAAACUUUUUUUGAUUAUGGAUUCUAUAAAUAUCCUGCAUGUCAAAAUAUCAACACAAAAGACAACUGCUAUGUUAUGGAUCCCUCUUGUCCAUUCGUUUUGCCUGAUGACAUUAGAUGUACGAACAGCGAUGAUGCCAUUUUUUAUGCAUGCAGCAUUUUAGGAGGUGUUAUCGUUCUUUUGAUUGCUGUUUUAAUUAUCAUCAUCAUACGAUGGAGGGAAAAAAAAUGUCCAUGCU
Molecule: long non-coding RNA, 709 nt
Organism: Magallana angulata
Lineage: Eukaryota; Metazoa; Mollusca; Bivalvia; Ostreida; Ostreidae
Exons: 5
Source: RefSeq, a predicted model, not a curated record